This 422-nucleotide ribosomal RNA is filed under the name uncultured eukaryote. RNAcentral's name for it is "SSU rRNA". It matches the Rfam family "Eukaryotic small subunit ribosomal RNA", at positions 592 to 1018 of the family's 1831-position model. The record is from RNAcentral.
CAAUAGCGUAUAUUAAAGUUGUUGCGGUUAAAAAGCUCGUAGUUGGAUUUCUGUUGAAGACCGGCGGUCCACCUUUUGGGUGAGUAUCUGCUUGGGCUUCGGCAUCUUCUCGGAAUACGUUGCUGCGCUUGAUUGCGUGGUUCGGAGUCCGGGACUUUUACUUUGAGGAAAUUAGAGUGUUCACGGCAGGCAUACGCCUUGAAUAUAUUAGCAUGGAAUAAUAAUAUAGGAUCUUGGUUCUAUUUUGUUGGUUUCUAGAACUAAAGUAAUGAUUAAUAGGGAUAAUUGGGGGCAUUUGUAUUAACGCGUCAGAGGUGGAAUUCUUGGAUUGCGUUACGACAAACUACUGCGAAAGCAUUUGCCAAGGAUGUUUUCAUUGAUCAAGAACGAAAGUUAGGGGAUCGAAGACGAUUAGAUACCGU